UUGUGAUAAGUUAAGGACUUUUCACAGUUCAAGAACAUGGAAAUGGAAGAUGUAAGGUUGAUGGCAAGAUCAAGAGUGUGACCAUCUCUAUGUAUAGCUGCAGUAGGUUAGAGGAAGAGUUUAUAGGAAAUAAGAAGAAGAGGAGGGAAAAUGAUGCACUGAGAUUAAAGUUCCUAGACAGACAUUUACAGAGGUCCUAUCAGUAAAGUUUCUAAAAAUAAUGGAGGAGGGGCACAACUGCCUUCUCCCUACCCAGAAAAUUCAACAAGUUAUAGAAGGAGGUUGGGGCAGAGGGCACUGUAUUGUAACAGCAACAGACUUCAAAAUUUGCCAAGUGAUGCUUCAAUAUUUGCCAGUAAAUCCCCACCUACUAACUGGGGACCUCUAACCCAAGAAAAUGAGCACUAGUCCAUUUCUUGAAAGGCCCUAAAAGAAAUAAAGUGAAAUUUAUGUUUCCAUUCUGGUCAAAGUAUUGGAGAUUUCUGCAGGAAGAUUAUAUCCUGGGAAAGUAUGGAUUCUGAGAAGAUGGGAUCUCCAAAUCAUAUAUGAAGGAAAUUGAGUAUUAUACAAAAUAUGUUUACUACUCCUAGAUAUGAGGUGUGUCUCAACCCCAUGAGCUACAGUUACAGGAGGCAAUGAUUUCAUAUCUAUGUUACAUUGAGAGCAACAAAUAGAAAGAAAUUAACGGGACUCUGAGCUUCUAAUUAUAAUGAUGUUCAA
Non-coding RNA from Phascolarctos cinereus (koala), 720 nucleotides. The record is from RefSeq and is a predicted model, not a curated record. NCBI's taxonomy places the organism in Eukaryota, Metazoa, Chordata, Mammalia, Diprotodontia, Phascolarctidae.